This 393-nucleotide ribosomal RNA is filed under the name uncultured bacterium. Its description in RNAcentral is "partial 16S ribosomal RNA". It matches the Rfam family "Bacterial small subunit ribosomal RNA", at positions 523 to 918 of the family's 1533-position model. The record is from RNAcentral.
AUACGGAGGAUCCGAGCGUUAUCCGGAUUUAUUGGGUUUAAAGGGUGCGCAGGCGGGAGAUUAAGUCGGCGGGGAAAUUUUUCAUGUCAAACGUAAUAAGGCCUUCGAAACUGGGUUUCUUGGGGGUAGAAUAAGUAGCGGGGUUUUGUGGUGUGGCGGUGGAAUGCAUAGAUAUCACGAGGAACUCCGAUUGCGCAGGCAGCUUACUAAACUACUACUGACGCUCAGGCACGAAGGCGUGGGGAUCAAACAGGAUUAGAUGCCCUGGUAGUCCACGCAGUAAACGAUGAUUACUAGCUGUUUGCGAUACAAUGUAAGCGGCUGAGCGAAAGCGUUAAGUAAUCCACCUGGGGAGUACGUUCGCAAGAAUGAAACUCAAAGGAAUUGACGGGG